Molecule: ribosomal RNA, 497 nt
Filed under: uncultured bacterium
Lineage: Bacteria
Description: partial 16S ribosomal RNA
Rfam family: Bacterial small subunit ribosomal RNA
Source: RNAcentral
GAUGAACGCUGGCGGCGUGCCUAAUACAUGCAAGUCGAGCGAACAGACGAGGAGCUUGCUCCUCUGACGUUAGCGGCGGACGGGUGAGUAACACGUGGAUAACCUACCUAUAAGACUGGGAUAACUUCGGGAAACCGGAGCUAAUACCGGAUAAUAUAUUGAACCGCAUGGUUCAAUAGUGAAAUACGGCUUUGCUGGCACUUCUCGAUGGAUCCCGGCCGCAUUAGCUAGUUGGUAAGGUAACGGCUUACGAAGGGAACGAUGCGUAGACGACCUGCGAGGGUGGUCGGCCACACGGGAACUGAGACACGGUCCAGAGUCCUACGGGAGGCAGCAGUAGGCAAUCUUCCGCAAUGGGCGAAAGCUUGACGGAGCAGCGCCGCGUGAGUGAUGAAGGUCUUCGGAUCGUAAAACUCUGUUAUUAGGGAAGAACAAAUGUGUAAGGAACUAUGCACGUCUUGACGGUACCUAAUCAGAAAGCCACGGCUAACUACGUG